UAGGGAAUAUUGCGCAAUGGUCGAAAGACUGACGCAGCGACGCCGCGUGUGGGAGGAAGCCUUUCGGGGUGUAAACCACUGUCAGGUGGGACGAACAACGCAUGUCCAAACAGGGCAUGCGCAUGACGGUACCAUCAGAGGAAGCGCCGGCUAACUCCGUGCCAGCAGCCGCGGUAAGACGGAGGGCGCAAGCGUUGUUCGGAAUUACUGGGCGUAAAGCGCGGGCAGGUGGUUCGUUAAGUCUUUUGUGAAACUCCGGGGCUCAACUCCGGACAUGCAGAAGAUACUGGCAGACUAGAGACCGGUAGAGGCUAGUGGAAUUCCUGGUGUAGCGGUGGAAUGUGUAGAUAUCAGGAAGAACACCGGUGGCGAAGGCGGCUAGCUGGGCCGAGUCUGACACUCAUCCGCGAAAGCGUGGGGAGCAAACAGG
Molecule: ribosomal RNA, 430 nt
Filed under: uncultured Gemmatimonadota bacterium
Lineage: Bacteria; Pseudomonadati; Gemmatimonadota
Description: bacterial SSU rRNA
Rfam family: Bacterial small subunit ribosomal RNA
Source: RNAcentral